This 481-nucleotide ribosomal RNA is filed under the name Tubifex tubifex (sludge worm). RNAcentral describes it as "partial 16S ribosomal RNA". It matches the Rfam family "Bacterial large subunit ribosomal RNA", at positions 1851 to 2619 of the family's 2925-position model. The record is from RNAcentral. Lineage: Eukaryota; Metazoa; Annelida; Clitellata; Tubificida; Naididae.
GGUAAAUCCUGCCCAGUGAGUCAUUUAACGGCCGCGGUAUCCUGACCGUGCAAAGGUAGCAUAAUCACUUGCCUAUUAAUUGUAGGCUAGAAUGAAAGGACAAACGAGAAUACACCUGUCUCCUUUAAGCCCCUAAAAAUUUAUCUUUAAGUGAAGAAGCUUAAAUAAACGUGCAGGACAAGAAGACCCUAUAGAGCUUUACCUAUAAGCCACAUAAACAGUGGUUAGCGGUUCGGUUGGGGCGACCAGGGGAUACUAUCCACCCCUAAAUUAUAAGAUCAACUAAUCCUAUCAUAGAUCCUUUAUCAAGAUCAAAGAAUCAAGCUACCUUAGGGAUAACAGGCUAAUCCUCUUAGAGAGCCCUUAUCGACAAGAGGGGUUGGCACCUCGAUGUUGGCUUAGGACGUCUCCAUGUCGCAGCAGACAGGCAAGAAUGGUUUGUUCAACCAUUAAAUUCCUACAUGAUCUGAGUUCAAACCGG